UCUUUGCUCUUCUUUUCCCGCGGGGAGGCCUUAAUGCAGCCGACGCCGGUCGCAAGCCCGGGAGCAAGAUGCAGAGCGAGGC
This 82-nucleotide non-coding RNA is filed under the name unclassified sequences. The record is from RNAcentral.